GCCUGGGUGGCUCAGUCGGUUGAGCGUCAGACUUCGGCUCAGGUCAAGAUCUCGCGGUCCGUGAGUUCGAGCCCCGCGUCAGGCU
Molecule: non-coding RNA, 85 nt
Organism: Felis catus (domestic cat)
Lineage: Eukaryota; Metazoa; Chordata; Mammalia; Carnivora; Felidae
Source: Rfam